Molecule: ribosomal RNA, 386 nt
Filed under: uncultured bacterium
Lineage: Bacteria
Description: bacterial SSU rRNA
Rfam family: Bacterial small subunit ribosomal RNA
Source: RNAcentral
AUUGAACGCUGGCGGCAUGCCUUACACAUGCAAGUCGAACGGCAGCGGACCUUCGGGUGCCGGCGAGUGGCGAACGGGUGAGUAAUAUAUCGGAACGUACCUUUCAGUGGGGGAGUAACGUAGCGAAAGUUACGCUAAUACCGCAUAUUCUGUGAGCAGGAAAGCAGGGGAUCGCAAGACCUUGCGCUGAUUGAGCGGCCGAUAUCAGAUUAGCUAGUUGGUGAGGUAAAGGCUCACCAAGGCGACGAUCUGUAGCGGGUCGUGAGAGGAUGAUCCGCCACACUGGAACUGAGACACGGUCCAGACUCCUACGGGAGGCAGCAGUGGGGAAGUUUUGUCGCAAUAGGGCGGAAAGACCUCGACGCAGCCACGCCGCCGUGAGCGAU